RNAcentral lists this ribosomal RNA (505 nucleotides) under uncultured bacterium. RNAcentral's name for it is "partial 16S ribosomal RNA". It matches the Rfam family "Bacterial small subunit ribosomal RNA", at positions 28 to 507 of the family's 1533-position model. The record is from RNAcentral.
GACGAACGCUGGCGGCGUGCCUAAUACAUGCAAGUAGAACGCACAGUUUAUACCGUAGCUUGCUACACCAUAGACUGUGAGUUGCGAACGGGUGAGUAACGCGUAAGUAACCUGCCUGGUAGCGGUGGAUAACUAUUGGAAACGAUAGCUAAUACCGCAUCAUAUUCAUUAUUGCAUGAUAAUUAAUUGAAAGGUUCAAUUGCACCACUACCAGAUGGACCUGCGUUGUAUUAGCUAGUAGGUGAGGUAACGGCUCACCUAGGCGACGAUACAUAUCCGAACUGAGAGGGUGAUCGGCCAAACUGGGAAUGAGACACGGCCCAGACUCCUACGGGAAGCAGCAGUAGGGAAUCUUCGGCAAUGGACGAAAGGCUGAACGAGCAAAGCCGGGGGAGUGAAGAAGGUUGUCGGAUCGUAAAGAUCUGUUGUAAGAGAAGAAAGGGAGGGAGAGUGGAAAGUUCACACUGUGACGGUAUCUUACCAGAAAGGGACGGCUAACUACGUG